This 671-nucleotide ribosomal RNA is filed under the name Dicrocoelium dendriticum. RNAcentral's name for it is "partial large subunit ribosomal RNA". Lineage: Eukaryota; Metazoa; Platyhelminthes; Trematoda; Plagiorchiida; Dicrocoeliidae. The record is from RNAcentral.
GGUUUUGAGACUAUGUUAGUAUAUGUUUUGUUGGGUGUAGUACCUUUUGCAUCAUGAUUSUCGGGUAGUGUCYAUGGAGUGUGGUGUCCCGAAAGGUAGUGAUUUAUUUUGCCCUUGCUUGGAGCUGAGGUGUGGUUGAGUUGAUCUUUUGAGAGGGUGAAAUAGGGGUGAUAUGCUAUUUYGUACUAUUUUAUAACUGGUUGACGCUGGAUUUUUUAGAGUUACGCUUUUUGCUUUGAGGUGAUUGGUGAUUUCAGAGACUUUGUUAUUAGGGUUUGUUAGGGGGUUAGAGGUACCCUGGUUCAAAUUUUGUGUUAUAACAUUUAGAGGAUUGUUGUUGUCUUGGUUUAGUUUGGUGUCUAUGUAACUGUUUAGUGAGUUAUCGGGGGAAUAAGUAGUUUAAGAAUUGCUGUGUUUUUGUCUCGAUUUUUGUUCGUCUGUUUAUUAAAAACAUUUCUAUCAUUAAGUGUUGAUGGUAGUACCUGCCCAAUGGCUUAGGGUUUAAUGGCCGCAGGAAUAAACUGUGUUAANGGUAGCGUAAUUAGUUGCCUUUUAAUUGAAGGAUUGUUUGAAUGGUUUGACGAGAUGAAAUUGAAAUGUGCAGUGUGYGGUGAAUUUAGAGUGUCUGUGCAGAUCCAGGUAAUGAUUAGUAAGACGGAAAGACCCYRRGA